GACGAACGCUGGCGGCGUGCUUAACACAUGCAAGUCGAACGGAAAGGCCCUGCUUUUGUGGGGUGCUCGAGUGGCGAACGGGUGAGUAACACGUGAGUAACCUGCCCUUGACUUUGGGAUAACUUCAGGAAACUGGGGCUAAUACCGGAUAGGAGCUCCUGCUGCAUGGUGGGGGUUGGAAAGUUUCGGCGGUUGGGGAUGGACUCGCGGCUUAUCAGCUUGUUGGUGGGGUAGUGGCUUACCAAGGCUUUGACGGGUAGCCGGCCUGAGAGGGUGACCGGCCACAUUGGGACUGAGGUACGGCCCAGACUUCUACGGGAGGCAACAGGGGGGAAUAUUGCACAAUGGGCGGAAGCCUGAUGCAGCAACGCCGCGGGCGGGAUGACGGCCUUCGGGUUGGAAACCGCUUUCGCCUGUGACGAAGCGGGAGUGACGGUAAUGGGUAAAGAAGCACCGGCUAACUACGUG
Molecule: ribosomal RNA, 468 nt
Filed under: uncultured bacterium
Lineage: Bacteria
Description: partial 16S ribosomal RNA
Rfam family: Bacterial small subunit ribosomal RNA
Source: RNAcentral